This 260-nucleotide long non-coding RNA is filed under the name Nicotiana benthamiana. RNAcentral describes it as "long non-coding RNA (NBEN_LNC041505)". The record is from RNAcentral. Lineage: Eukaryota; Viridiplantae; Streptophyta; Magnoliopsida; Solanales; Solanaceae.
AAUAGAAGCUUUAAAAAACUAGCUGCGUACAGAACCUCAGUGCUGCCAAUGCUUCUCCUAAACCCCUUUUGCCUUAAUAACAUUUUUUAAGUUUAAAUUUUCUAUUUUUUCCUUAGUAAUAUGUUAUUAUAAGUAGCCACACAUAAGUAUCAUGACAUGUUUAAGACAACCAAUUUAAAUAUCAUUUUUUUUCUCUCGUAAAUUCCAAUGCAUAAUCAAGUAGUAUCACAUAAAAUGAAAGGGAAUGAGUAAUAAUUUUA